Molecule: transfer RNA, 77 nt
Filed under: Nocardiopsis sp. CNR-923
Lineage: Bacteria; Bacillati; Actinomycetota; Actinomycetes; Streptosporangiales; Nocardiopsidaceae
Description: tRNA-Phe
Rfam family: tRNA
About the family: Transfer RNA (tRNA) molecules are approximately 80 nucleotides in length. Their secondary structure includes four short double-helical elements and three loops (D, anti-codon, and T loops).
Source: RNAcentral
GGCUAGGUAGCUCAGUUGGUACGAGCGUCCGCCUGAAAAGCGGAAGGUCGGCGGUUCGACCCCGCCCCUAGCCACCU